AAUAUUGGGCAAUGGGCGCAAGCCUGACCCAGCAACGCCGCGUGAGGGAAGAAGGUUUUCGGAUUGUAAACCUCUGUCCUAGGGGACGAAAAAAAUGACGGUACCCUGGGAGGAAGCCCCGGCUAACUACGUGCCAGCAGCCGCGGUAAUACGUAGGGGGCGAGCGUUGUCCGGAAUUACUGGGCGUAAAGGGUGCGUAGGCGGCAUGUUAAGUUGGGUGUGAAAUACCCGGGCUCAACCUGGGAGGUGCAUUCAAAACUGGCAAGCUAGAGUGCAGGAGAGGAAAGUGGAAUUCCUAGUGUAGCGGUGAAAUGCGUAGAUAUUAGGAGGAACAUCAGUGGCGAAGGCGACUUUCUGGACUGUAACUGACGCUGAUGCACGAAAGCGUGGGGAGCAAAC
Molecule: ribosomal RNA, 399 nt
Filed under: uncultured bacterium
Lineage: Bacteria
Description: partial 16S ribosomal RNA
Rfam family: Bacterial small subunit ribosomal RNA
Source: RNAcentral